CAGGGUCAGAAAGUGUGAAAGUAGAAUAUUUGAGAGACAUCUCAAAAGAUGUAUCAAGAAGAUAGCAGGAGUAGGAUGUGUACUAUAAAAGGAUGAGUGGGUGGCAGGGAGAGCUUCCCGGCAUGUGAUUCAAGUUUCAGCCUGCAUAUCAAGACUUCCACUUUCUCUCUUUUUUUUUUUUUUUAAGAUUUUAUUUAUUCAUGAGAGACACACAGAGAGAGAAGGGGGCAGAGACACAGGCAGAGGGAGAAGCAGGCCCCAUGCAGGAAGCCUGAUGUGGGACUCAAUUCCCGGGACUCCAGGACCACGCCCUGGGCCAAAGGCAGGCGCUAAACCACUGAGCCACCCAGGGAUCCCCAAGACUUCAACUUUCAUCCAACAUUGGUAACAAGCACCAGAGUCACCCUUCACCUCAAACAAAAAAGGGACAAAGUAUAUGAAACAACAGAUGCAUACAGUGUUUCCAUUUUGAUGAAAUGUUCUCAGGACAUUGGCUAUCAGUCAAGGAAGGACAGUGAAUCCUGUGAAGAAGCAGAUGAAGUGAACCCUAUGGUUGUUCCAGCUAUUUCCCUUGAGAGAGUUUCCAGGCUGUGGCACAGGGAGAGGGGACCCAAGUGGAACCUAGCAUUCACCUUCCUUAAGGAGCUAGAGCUGGGGCACCUGGGUGGCUCAGUCAGUUAAGCGUCUGCCUUCAGUCAUGAAGGCAGUCAUCAAAUCAUGAUCCCAGGAUGCUGGGAUUGAGCCCCAUAUCUGGCUCCCUGCUCAGAGGAGAGCCUGCUUCUCCCUCCCCUUGCUCUUGUACUCUCUCGCUCCCCCUCUCAAACAAAUAAAUGAGACCUAUUUAAAAAUUUUUAAAAAGCCAGAGCUGAGAGACCAGGGACAUCGAGAAAGCUAGAGUCUGGAAGGGGGAGAGCUUUAUAAAAACCUUAAAGAUCUGCAGAGAUCAAGCAUGUGAGAAAACUGCAUAGGCUAGUUUUCUUCUAGCCACUUGGAAGUAUUAGAACAAUUGAAGCAUAUAGCAGUAGUGCCCUUUCCAACCAGUCUUAGUGAAAAAAACUCAUGGGUCAGUGGGUAUAUUCAGAAGUUUUGCCUCAGUAGUGGAAACUGUUUGGGUCCUGCAUGACAAAACUUACUCAGAAGGAUAACUGAGUAGCUCAACUGUGUCUCAGAACAAAGUUUGAGAGUAUUAAGAGGAAUACAGAAUGUGCAUUCACCAACAUGGUAAUAUGCACAAUAUCUAGUAGCAUCCAUUCAAAAGAUUUCCUGCAUGCAAAUAUGAGGGGAAGUACAACCCUUAAUGAGGAGAAAAGUUCAUUUGACACCAGAAAUGGCAAAGGUGGUAGAAUUAGUAGAUAAGGAUAUAGUAGACAAGAAUAUAUUGUAAUAACUAUAUUUCUUAUGUUCAAAAAGCUGGAAAAAAGAGAUAUGAGUGGUAUAAAAUAGCACAACUCUGACAAUCUUGAAAUGAAAACUGCAAUUCCUGAGAAGAAAAAUACACUGGAUGGAAUCAGAUGAGACAUUGCAGAAGAAAAGAUAGUGAACUUGAAGACAUAUAGUGAUAUAAACUAUCCAAAAUGAAACAAAAAAACCAACUGCAAAAAGAUGAGCAGUGCAUCAAAUGUGCUAAAGGGCAGUUUCAAGCAGCCCAGUGUUUGCAGAGUGUCUGAGAAAGUUGAGGUGGGAAGGGGCACUUGAAGAUACAAUGGCUAGAAUGUUUCUCAAUUUCCUAGAAACUAUAAAUCAGCAACCCAUAAUAUUUAGCAAAUUCCGUUUUCAAGAAACAGGAAGAAAAUGGUAUUAAGGCAUGUUAAAUUUAAUCACUUUUAAAUUAAUGAUAAAAUAGGGGCACCUGCAUGGUUCAGUUGGUUAAGCAUCUGCCUUUGGCUCAGGUUGUGAUCUCGGGGUCCUGGGAUGGAGCCCCGUGUCAGCUCCCUGCUCAGUGGAGAGUCUGCUUCUCCCUCUGCCUCUGUUCCUCCCCCUGCCCUGCCCCUCUUCUGUUCUCUCUCUCUCUCUCUCAAAUAAAUAUAUUUUUUAAAAAAUCAAAGUAAAAUUUAAAAAUCUGUGAUAAAACAGUUUAAAAUCAGUCACAGAAAAAAAGACCUAUUAUGGAAAGAGGAACAAAGAGAAGAAUGACAGCAGACUUCUUAUCAGAAACAAUGUGAAACAACAAGUACUGGAGAAAAUAAAACUGUCAAACCAGAAUUCUCUACUCCGAUACGAUAUUUUUCAAAAACAAACAUGAAAUAAAUACUUUCAGACACACAAAAGCUAAAAAAAUGCAUCACCAACCAACUUGAUGCUAUAAGAAAUGUUAAAGGAAGUCCUUCAAGCAGAUGGAAAAAUAUACCAGAUGGG
RNAcentral lists this long non-coding RNA (2355 nucleotides) under Canis lupus familiaris (dog). RNAcentral describes it as "lncRNA (ENSCAFG00845030134.1)". Lineage: Eukaryota; Metazoa; Chordata; Mammalia; Carnivora; Canidae. The record is from RNAcentral.